RNAcentral lists this long non-coding RNA (14058 nucleotides) under Lathyrus oleraceus (garden pea). RNAcentral's name for it is "Pisum sativum (pea) long non-coding RNA (PSAT_LNC030626)". Lineage: Eukaryota; Viridiplantae; Streptophyta; Magnoliopsida; Fabales; Fabaceae. The record is from RNAcentral.
CAAGAGCAGUUAUCUACGAGCGGCGCCCCUUCAAGUGACAGCUUAAGCAAGUCAAACAUCUCUUUAGUCCAUCAAAGGAAAAAACCAGAUUGUGUACCUAAAAGACAGAAAAUUCCUUUGAUUGAUGAAAGGAAGAGAACCAAAUUUAGCCUCCUUGCAAAGUCUAUGGGUAUGGAAGAGCUUGCAUUUAGCAAAUGGUUACUAUCUGCAACUCCAGUAGAGAGAGAAAAAGUGCUUAUAAACUACAACAAGAAAAAGAAAAAGCUUAAAUCCUUGCAAAGUCUAUGGGUAUGGAAGAGCUUGCAUUUAGCAAAUGGUUACUAUCUGCAACUCCAGUAGAGAGAGAAAAAGUGCUUAUAAACUACAACAAGAAAAAGAAAAAGCUUAAAGGUUGAGUAAUGGUUCUCAUGGAUGAUAAAACAAACGCAGGCCUUUCAUACCAAAACAGGAGAAAAAUGUGCAAAUGUGGAAAUGCAUAGAUAGUCAAUUUUUCCUUUUACAGAUUGAAUUUUUAGAUGUAGUUUGUCCUCCAAACAUUGUAACUUCUAUUUUUCUGGUGUAAAUAUUAGCAUAUUUUUUAAUUAAUGGUUCUGAUUAUGUUGCAAUUUUAAUUAGUUCACGAUUAUUAGUCAUUCAUGUGAAUAUUAUGAUUACAUUCAUGAUUCAUCAGUGUUAAGAAUAUAUCUAAGAGAAACCAUGUUUAAGUAAAUAGGAAUAUUCAGUUUUGUAUGUAGAUUGUCCAUACAUGCAGCAUACUAUUCUCAUAAAUACAAUUUUUAUUGAUUUACUUUUUUGAGUGUAUAAAAAAGAAUAUAUAUUUUUUUUAGAGAAAAUGGAUGAUGCACUGACAUGUAAAUUUAUUUUACACUAUCAACCAAUAACGACCAUGCAUCCCGUCAAGUCAGACUAAAAAUUUUAAAAUACUGAUAUGACAUGAUGAAAUGAUACAUUCUUAUUGGAUGAUACGAUCAGUGCAUCACCAUUAAAUCCUAUUUUUUAUAAAGGAUAAUUAUUUCAAUUUUUAAUAUAUUGAGUACACAUUUUUGUAAAUAAAUUAUUUCCUAAACCCUCUGAAAGUGCCCCUAAAAUAUACUCGGGGACCACUUGCAAACAUUGUAAACUCUAUGAUUUGUUAUGUCUUUUACAGCUGUAUAUACUGGUGGAAUAGGCUAAUACUAGUAUUUUGAUUUUCAAAUUAAAAAAUUUAGAUUUUAACAUCAAAGUUCAAUUAAUCUUUAAGUAUUUUAUAAUUAAUUAUAUGUUACAGUUUCAAUCAAAUUUCAUUGAUUAUUAUUAGCCACUUUUGUGAAUAUUAUAAUAACAUUCAUAUACAUCAAGGAAAUGAAUUCUCUAUAUUAAAACCUUCAUACUAGGUCUGCUCUUUUUUAUAUAUAAUUUUCUCUCUUUUUCUCUCAUGAUCGUUGUGAUUGAGAUGCUGCAAUUAAGAAAAAUUGAAAGAAUAUAUUGUCCUAUGCAAGUCCAUACAUGCAGAAGACUCUUAGUAACUACAUUUCUCAACAAAACAAAAAAACUAAAUCCACUUCAUUUUCAUUCCAAUUCAAUCCCCUACAAAAACUUGAAAACUUGUAAAAUUUGUUUAAUGGGCGCUACAAAUUAUGCCUUCUUUUCUUUGGAUUCUUCAUCAUACAAGGAGAGCACAAGAACUUAAACUAUUCAUAACGGCUUAUCCCACCUUCACUUUGUCUGCUUUUGAUUCUAAUAACAAGCACAUCCUAGAACUCCAAAAAAUCUACUCAUAUCAUUGUAUCUAUUUCCUCUGCAUUUUGAAUCUGGAGACUGGUUUUAAAGGUUGAGAACCGGAAACCUGUUAAAAUAUCAAAACCAUAAUCAUCAUAGAUUUAAGUCAGUGAUGAAAAUGCAAAGGUUAUGAAAAUCAUGAUGAUUACAAGCCAAUAUUCUUUUAUUCAUGAACAGACCCCUUACAUAACUCAAUUAAUUUACCUGUGAAGUUGAACUUUGUUCUCUUGAAGCUUUUUCUAAAUUCUCGCCAUGCUCUAUGAUGGAGCCUGUAAAAGCCUGCAGAAAAUAUUAAUUCAAAAAAAUAAAUCAUCGACUGCUAUAUGUUUUGGCUGCAGGGUACUAUUGCGACUUGAGAGGGAAAAGAUUAUAAAGAUUAAACAAACCUUGAGACUAUCAAAUGAUGGCUGUGAAGUUUGAUGUUGAACCUGUAAAGGAAAUAAUUGUACAUGUCAAGCAUCAACUCUCAUGAAAUAGUUGUACAUUUCAACAAGUAUAUACCACAUUACCUACGGGCAAGAAAUUGUGAUGGAAGUUUCAUCAAAAUAUUUGCAUACCUCAAUUUUCGAUGCCAAAGUUGCUUGAGAUAUCUUCUCUUUAGGAACUAUGGGCGGCUUCGCACUAGGAUCAAUGGAUUUCACAUUUUGUGCUAAAGUUUUCCCUUCUGAUAGAUCAGGCAAAACAGAAAUUCAACUCUAAAGUGGUUGUAAACGGCACAGGCAGCCAUUUAUAGUUACACGGAACCGUGAAAAUGCAAAUACAGAGAAAAUGAGAGUGCAAAGAACUUAAGGAAUACCAACCUUUUACCUGAGGUUGAACAGCCAGGUUCGCAAACUGCGUUUUCAAAAUUAAAAUGCAAAAACAUAUACUUUCAGCCGAGUAUAACAUACUAAAUAACUUAAAAGAAGAAAAAAACAAUAGAAAGAAAUUUUCUUACAUUCAACUGAUCAGCUAUAUAUUCUUGAUGAUUAUGCUUUUUUGGAAACUCACUUGUUACAUUUCUAUUGCUUCUCUGGUCCAGUGGUAUGGCUUGAUUACUACCCUACUUCAUAGAAAAUUAAAUCCUAAGUUAUCACAGUUCAUUGUGCUCAUAGUCUAUAAACAAUGUUUUGAAAUUAGAAACAACAAAUUGAUCAAGAAUAUUACUUCUAUAUUUUGGGGAUUGUUAUCGACAGGUCUCUGAUAUGGACUAUCAUCAAAACCAUCAGUAGUUUUCUCACUUUGAUCACUGUCAUCGCCAUUUUUUUCAGCAAGCGCUUCUUUUUUCUCAAGUUCAUCCAUUAAAGCCAAAAAUGAAGCAUAGUCCACUUCUUUGGAUGUAUCAUUCCCAACACUAGGAACAUCUUCAAUAGCUGAAUCUGAAAAGAAAGCAAAACAAUAUUGACAUUGCAUCCAAUCAUAAUUUCAAUAUUUCGAACAAAUUAGAAAUAUGAUCAUUGGUAAAAAGGUGUAAUGAUCAAAAAUAUAUGCUCGCCAACUUCAAGCAUGGAGUAACAAAGUUGAGAAAUAUAUAAAAGACAAAAACAAGAAACUUAAAAGUGAGCAGAUGAAUAGAACCUGCUCAAGGGAAGAACAAUGUGUUAAUCCACUUAGAAAUAAACUCAGAAUAAGCAGAAACUGCUGUACAAAGUACAUGUAAGCUGCCCAAGGACAACAAGUAACAUGUAUAUGUUGAAGUUGUAAAUUUUUAGAUUAAAAAAAUUAAAAUAGAAAUAAUAAAGACUUCAAAAUAUAAUUAUGAUUGACAAUUUGAAGAUACCAAAAGAAUUAGCACUAUCCUUUAUUUAUAGGGAAUUAAGGAUACAAGACUCGUAAUCCUAAUUUAAUAACAAAGUGAACUACUCCUAUGAGAUAAGAUACAUAACUAAUACAUUGAGGCAAUUCAAGAUAAGAUAAAUAUUUAAUACAUUGAAAUAAUUCAAGACAAUAUCAAGAUAUUUUUUCAUACAUACACUCCUUCUCAAACUAAAGCUUAGGCUUGUUACAAAUAAAUCCUUUGAAACAAUACGGGGACAAUGCUUACAACAGUUGUAGCCCUAACUAGAAAGUCUUGCAACUUUGAAUGAAGCAGAAAUGACAAAGUAGCAGCUGAAGCCUAAAUAUCAGCCACGAAGAAACCAAAUAGUACCAAAGAAACAACAGAAAGCACCACAACAGGUGGGCCUAAAACCAGAAAAAACAAACCAUAACUACUAUUAGGGAGUCAAGAACAAAACCAACGGCGAAACAAAAUUUUAUGAGACUCGUGCUGACGACUUAGUCUUGACAGUGGCUAGACCCACCUAUUUGAGCACAAUGUGUGUGAUGAACACAACGUGCACACAAGAGCAUAUUAAGGUGACAGAUUUACAGCUAUGAUGUUACGAAGGAUCCAUAUUUGUGUGGUUAAUUUUAAGAAUAGAGUUCCAAGUUUUUGUAAGAUUUACUACUUUGGGGAAGCUCACGGAAAAUGGUGCGGCUCUAAUACCAUGUUGAAGUUGAGUUUUUUAGAGAAAAGAAAAAAUAGAAAGAAUAAAAUCUUACAAAUAUGAUUAUUAUUGAUGAAUUAAAAAUGGCAAAGAUUAAGUAAGCACUAAACCCCUAUUUAUAUGUCAAAUUACUAAUCAUAAUAGAAUAGAGAAAGCUGUUAUGAUUAUAAUAACAUUUAAGUCAUAAAAGGAAACUAAUUUUAACUUAAGAGAUAAAAUGAGAAACUUAUUGAUCCUAUGAGAUGAUUCAAGAUAACAUCAAGAUAUUAUAAGAUAUGUUUCUUAUAGUCUAAGGUAUCUAGAUAUCAUAAGAUAUGUUUCUUAUAUUCUAAGGUAUACAUACACCCACUCACUCAAACAGUUAUAAAUGGAAAUCUGUCUAUGUGUAUUUUGAUUUAUGUAUCCACUUCCACUACUGAGCAUGAGCAUGAGGAUGAGCAUUCAUUUGGGUUCGUAUUGCACUGUAAAAAUGAUUUGAACGAUAAAAAAUUGCAUGAACCAACAUUGCUUUGGCCUAUAUGUGGAAUUAUAAAGCUUAGAACUAGUAGAAAAAUGGAAGAAAAGAGAUGGGGAAAAUGUUUGUACGUAGUGCAAACUGAAAGUUGAAUAUAAAAAACUGUAAAAUGAAUAUUUGGUGUUUAAAUAAGAGACUAGAAAAUUCCAUACCCUCCUUGCAAAUCCAAAUUAAACAUCUCCAUACACAUUAAAAUAAAUAAUUAUGUAUGCCAAUGAUACCAGCAUAAUGGUAUGCUACAAUAAGACUUGAACUUGCCAGAUGUUGAUAAUUAGUAAUUACAGCUAUUUGAAUAACCAAUAUAGAAAGUGCUUGAAUUUUAUUUAAACUUUCCAACCCACCAUACCACUACGAUCUUCUGUUUAUAGUUAUAAAUGAACAUAGACCGUCAUUUUACAUAAUUAUAAAACUAUGGAAAGCGAGAAAGAGAGAACAUGCCUGAUUCAGAUUCCUCUUCUUCAGAGUCGCCCUCAACAUAUUCUUCUCUUAUUUCAACAAGACCCUCCUGCACCAAGUAAAAACAACUGCAAUUGAUAAUUGAUGCCAACUUCAAAUAUAUUUUCACCAAUUGCUAACAAAUGUUUUCCACCAAAAGAAAUGCUAACAAAUGUAUAAACGUGAGAAGAAAAUGUAGCACAAAAAACUAAAAUUAGUCCCCCAGACAAUGUGAAAAGAAUAAAAUACACAACACAUUGAAGUAUAAUACUACCAGGUUCAGCCACAGAUUUAACCAGUUAGAAUACCAUACUACAUGUGUGAAUUGUCAAAACUGCCUCAAUACAAAUCAAAUUGAAAAUUACUCCAAACUAAUGAGAGAAGUGAUGAAACAAACCGCUACUUCAGAAUCUGUGACAUUGAUAAAGGAGGAAAGGUUGUUGAUCGUGGCCUGAAGUGAAUCAACCUGUGAAUUCAAGGAUUCCCCUCUUCGUUGCAAAAUAUCAACAGUUUGUUUGGAAGUUCUGUCUGCAUAAUACCCUUCUCCCAAAAGAACCUAAUAACCAAAAAACAUUCACCACUGAGAAAAAAAUUGAAAAAACAUGCAUAUUCAAUUCAACCAAAGGGGGAAAAAGCGCACCAUGAACUCGUUGGUAUGAAUCAAACGACCAGGGAAGAACGCUGCUUUCCCAAGCGGAACCUGAGAACCCAAUUUCAAAUUUCUAAACUUUUUUACAAAGGGUAAUCAAAACAGAAGAAAAAUCAUUGAAAAAACAAGGAUUGACUUGCCAUGACAUCAUGAGAGAGUUGUUCGGGGAGUUUCUGGACGAGGUUGACAAGGUUGUUGUUGUCGGCGAUAAAACGUUGUAGGACGUGAAGCUCGUUGUUCUUUUCGGCAAUGGCAUCUUGGAAUUGCUUAGUGGCCUUGUGCACCUCCUCAGGGGGGAACUGUGACUCAAGUGGUGUCACUGUCCCUUUCCUCCCCAAACCUCCCAUCUUCCUACUUUCCUUCGUUUUGCUUUGAUCCCUUAAUCACUCUUUUUAGAUUGCUAUACCUUCUGGGCCGAGAGGAAUGGCCCAGCCUCUUCGGCUUUAGGGGCAAAUUGAAAUCAAUGGGCCCCUUAGUUAUUAGUUCAUAAAACUGAUUAGAUAACAUGUCAAAAUCGAAGUACCAUAAAGAGUAAAAUAAAUGCAUUUACAAUCCAAAAGUAUCUCAAGUUACAAGUUUAUUCUAUCAAAGAAGUAUCUCAAGUUACAAGUUUAUUCUAUCAAAGGGACUCGAUCUUAAAUCUCUAAUUGCACCUAAUGUCAAUUGCAUAGACUCGCUGAUGUAGUUUAUUGAAUGUCCAAUUCAAUUUCCAUUAUAUAUAUUGUUUACCAAGUUCUUUAAAAUGUCACUCAUACUUCUUUUAGAAUUCUCUCUCUAACUUGUGAACUUAAACAAGUCGGAAAUAAUAAAGAUCCUCAUUGGAUAACUAGGUCUAUAAUUUCCACAUAAAUUCAAGUUAUCAUUAAACUAAUAUUACCUAUUUUAAGCUUAUUCAUAUCUACCUAUAAAAUACCAAUCGAACAAGUCCAAAAAUUUUCACUUAAAUUUUCUAAGGUUUUUCUAUAAAAAAAAUUGUCAAGUUUCCUCCGUUUUUACGAUGUUUCCAAAAUUUCCCCGCUUAAAUUACACAUCCAUAACAGUGCAAACAAACAGAAAUCCCCCCACCUCUAAAAGGUGUUGAAAGGUUUGAUUCUUUUUCAAACCUCAAAGAGUCUAACUUUUUUCUCAAUAAACUUAUUCACAUUCUAAAAAUAAUUUAAAUUAAACUACACUAAAGGUAUACAACUCAUCAAUUAAUUCUUCAAGCUAACACAAGCUGAGAUCUUAAAUUAUAACUUGACGAUUCUAAUAAACACCAAGUGACUUGGACUAUUUAAGUCAAAGCUCAAGUCAAUUUAAUCGUGACAUUUCUUUCAUUACUCAACUAUUAGAAAUUUACAACUAACUCUAAAACUGAGUAGAAAAUUUACACCCAAUAACAACAAUAUAUAAUGUUUUAAGGGACAAUAAUACACCAAGUGUACAAUUCAGUCUCCAAACUUGCCGCACGAACAAGAUAUGGUGUUAGUGAAAUCUGACGAGCGAAUAAGUCCCACUGAGUAUCUACUCAAGAGCACGGCAGCUAGUUUAGACUACCAUUUGGGAUCUUCUCCAUAUAAUUAUCUAACUCAAGUCAAUUAGUUAGAGUUAGUCAAUGCCAGCUACUUAUGUAAGGAAUGAGCUUCACUAUAAUGGUUAAGAGACGUUCAUUUUAUUCUACAAUACAAUGCAAAGAUUCAGAUUUUGUUAACUCAAAUAUCUUUCUUCUGUUCCUAUGAUUUCAUAUAUCUAAUACCUCAUUUCAACACCACAUUGAUAACAACAACAAUAACCAAAGCUUAUCCCACUAAGUGGUGUCGGUUACAUGGAUCAAUUUCUGCCUCAAAUAUACAGGUCUUCUUUCUACAUAACCAAACCACCUAAGUCUAUUUUUCACCAUCUUACAUAAAAAAUACAUGACAAUUACAAUAUUGUAAGGCCUUUAAUAAAAAGAGAUCAAAGAGGACAAAAACUAAAAUAGAAAAGGUUAGUGACCAAUACGAUAGCUCAAGCAUAUUUCUCGACAAAAAUAAAAGUUCUCCAUAAACAAAGGGAGUUGUUACUAACAUACCAGAACAACUUUUUUCCUAGAAAACUUCAAUUAUAUUAACUCUUAAAUUUAAUCCAGCUUUGCAACUAUGUGAGUUUCUUUCUGAAUGACCAAGCAUGUGAUGUGAAAGACAAUAAAGAUGCUAAAGAUAAUUAUAAUGAUACACGAAUAUAAGCACAACAGAUUUUACAGAACAUGAAGCCUUUACUAGAGGUUCAUACAUUACUAUUCUUUGUCAGUAUGAAGAAAUUCUUCUAGUCCUUGAUUCUAAAAAAAAUGUGUCAACUUUCAAGCCAAACCGGUGAAUGAUUGCCAAAUCAACAAAGUGUGUCUUAGUUACUUUCGUUGCUAAAAAGUAUCAUGUGAAGUUCAAAAUUCCAAAUUCCAUGAAUAAAGGUAUCAAAAAGUAGGGGUACUUGAUGAUGCUUCUAAUAUGGUUUCCUUGAAACUGUUUUCAAGAGCCCUUUUGAUUUGAACUUUCAAUAAAAUUUCUAGACAUACUUCCAAACAGAUUACUUCUAAAUAGGAUUUCUAAACCAAAUGCAGGCAGGGAAUGUAACACUUCAACACAUAUUUGUUUCAUAAGUUUCAACCUAAAAUCAACUUAAGACUUCAAUCCAACAAUCAACUUGCACACUUAACGAUUAAAUGCAUUAUCAAAUAGUGAUUCCAAAACUAUAGAACUAGAGGAAAAAACAAUUUCUCAAAACCAAAAUCCCAAAUGUAUAGUUGGAAAACUGAGAUUUAAUCAAAAGUCUCAUCUACCAUAUGAAGAGGUUAAGAUGACCAGAUUUCGAUGAGGGAGAUAGAGAAAUCUUAAUACAGAUAAGAAGAAUAAAUGAAAUGAGAGAUAAACAAGGUGGCCGGAAUGAUUUACCACGUUGGAGUUGAUGUUAAGGGAAGCUUGAAAUCAGUCCUAUCUUUCCGUUUACAAUUGCGGUGGCCGGAGGUUGAGGUGGAGGAAGUCCGGUGGCUAGGGUUUUAAUGAGGGAGGAGGAAGCUUUGAUUCGCACUGAAGGGAGAGGGGAGAGAAUUUAUUCUGGCACCCUUAAGCAUUACCUUGCACCCCCAAAUUUUUGUAAUCCUACAAAUAUUUCCUCUCAUUUUUUUUAUUAAAAACUUGUUAGAAAAUUUUCUCACACGUGAAAAAUCUAAUAGACCUAUUUAAAAAGUUUGAUAAGCAUUUCUAAAAAAUCGGGUGCAUGAAAAUUUUUGUUGUAUUUCUUAAAAAAUUUGGAAUAUCAUAUUCUUUCUAACCCCUUGAAAAUAUGGUAGUGUUAGUUUUUAUCAGGUGAAAUUUUGUCGACACUUUUGUAGGAUAGUGAUUGCACCGACAUUUUUGUGUGAUCCAUAAUGAUUUAAAACUUGUAUAAAUAUGCAUCAUAUGUUGUUAACAAAAACAUCUCCCAAUGUCUCAAUUUUGGCAUCUCGAAUUUGUUUACUUCAAUGGCGUGAAACAUCCUGUUAGGCUCACAAGACACCCAUUCUUGCUAUUCUGAAAUCCAAACUAGAUAAUCUCUUGCACCACAUCGACAACAGAAUGGUAGUUAAGAUCGAGUAUUGUUCACCACCGAUUGAUACUUAUGACAAAGAGUAAUCUCGCUUAUGUGUCAUAACUUUUAAGUGUGUUCUCUUUUCUUUCUUUUGUUUUAUAUCAAUUCUUGCAAAUUACCCGCUUUCCAUAAUUUUAAAUUUCAAUGAAAUUUGAAUCAUGAAGUGUGUUGUUUUUCCCUUUUAAAUGAUUACAUGACUAUGUAUGCAUAUUUAUAUUUCUACAAUAUAUUUUUACCAUCUUUUUUACUAUGACAAAGGGGGAGAAGUAUACUCUCCCUGAGAGAGUAGAGUAUACUAAUUACUUAAUAAAGUGGACGUUUAACCCCCUCCAAGUUAGAAGAAUGUGGAACCAUGUUUUUCAAACAAUUUAAGAAAUGACCAAAGUUAAAGGUGACAAUCAUGGUUUGCUUUUAAGCAAAUGAUAAUGUAGGCACAACACUGAUACUGUGGAUGUUUGGGAAAGUAGAAUAAUUGAAUGUAACUACUUUUGUGGAUGUAGUACCGCAGACACGACACCUAUAUGUAUGAGACACCAACCUGUGUCAAUUGUAAAGUGCCAGUGCUACAUAGAUAGAUUCAUAGUAGUGAGUAGAUUUCCCAAUGGUGGGUUCAAUUGGGAAUGGUACAUCGCAUAUGUGUUUCUUUAUUUCUCUUUGAUAUUUUGUUGUUAAGUGUUUACUUUAUUUUGUAUAUGAAUUAGUUUAUUGCAGUAAUUUUUAUAUACAUGAUGUGAGUAGUACUUUGUAGCAUCGGCAUUCAGCAGAUCAGAUAUUUAUAGUUUGUAUUGUGAAUCAUUUAAAGUUUUUUUAAGUGCUGAAAUUUGAAAUUAAAUUAAAAAUUCUGAGAAUUGUUUCAGGUUCCUGUAUCUAGAAACUGUAGACUGCUUGAGCAUCAGAGAGUGGGAGUGAAGUCUUUUGUCACUUUCGCUCCUCUUCUAUUUUUCCUUUUUUAUCAACCCCUCCAGUUAUUUCUGCGCUAUAAUAUGAACAUGGUAUAUACAGAUAUAUUGAUGUAGGUGUGUUAAGAGUCCCACACUGGACAAUAUAUGGCCUGAACCUGUGUUUAUAAAUGGGGACAGUCCUCACUCUACCAACCGGUUUUGUAGGGUUGAGUUAGGCCAAACCACACAUUAUUAAUAUGGUAUCAGAGCCUCGUUUAAGAUCCGGUGGACCACCCACCAUUUAUUUCCACGCUCCAGAUGUCCAGUCUUGGGCGUGAGGGGGUGUGUUAAGAGUCCCACAUUGGACAAUAUAUGGCCUGAACCUAUGUUUAUAAAUGGGGGCAAUCCUCACUCUACCAACCGGUUUAAACCGGUUUUGUAGGGUUGAGUUAGGCCAAACCACACAUUCUUAAUAAGAUGUAUGAAAAAUUAACGAUAUUGUGUUACUCUCAAUCUCAAGCACAAUGUUUUAUUAGUCUAAUUAUAUGUUGUUAAUCUCGGAAAGCGGCGCGGUCAACCCCAAACAAAAUAUAGGAACAGAACAAAAGAAGUAAGAACAGAGAGAAGGAAGAACAAACCUGAAUGGAUGAAGAUGAAGCAAUGGAGGAAGACGAUGAACAGUGUCCGGACAAGGAAGAGAAGAUGAUCGUUUGUUUGCUUGCGGCUGUGCGAAGACUACCGUUACGUUACCCAAGCGCGAAACACUGAAGAAGAAUUGGAAACAAAAUUAGGGUAUUUUUUUGUUUUUAAAGUAAUGGGUAAAACCCUCUGACCCGACUCGGUUUUAAAACCCGGCCGCUUCUGAACCGCGCCCGCAUCGCUCCACCCGCUUUCCACUAUCGCGCCGGACCGGUUUCAUACUGAAGCGGCGUUGCCAUUUUUGUUGCGGUGUGCCGUGAUCGCGGCCGCACCGGCCGCUUUUUGCAACAUAGGUCAAACAUCUCUUUAGUCCAUCAAAGGAAAAAACCAUAUUGUGUACCUAAAAGACAGAAAAUUCCUUUGAUUGAUGAAAGGAAGAGAGCCGAAUUUAGCCUCCUUGCAAAGUCUAUGGGUAUGGAAGAGCUUGCAUUUAGCAAAUGGUUACUAUCUGCAACUCCAGUAGAGAGAGAAAAAGUGCUUAUAAACUACAACAAGAAAAAGAAAAAGCUUAAAUCCUUGCAAAGUCUAUGGGUAUGGAAGAGCUUGCAUUUAGCAAAUGGUUACUAUCUGCAACUCCAGUAGAGAGAGAAAAAGUGCUUAUAAACUACAACAAGAAAAAGAAAAAGCUUAAAGGUUGAGUUAUGUGCCUUAAGAGUUAGGUUGUUAAAUUCCCUGUAGGUUUGAUUUUUUAUAAUACAAUUGUCACUGAUACACACCACAAUCUAAUCCAACACAAUCAAAACAGCACACGACUUUUUACUAACUCACCAAAAUAUAUACAAGGUCAUUCUAAUUUAAUUUGUCUGUCAUCUAAAGCAUCUUCAUGUUGUCUGUAGUUCUAUAUGAGCAUGCUAUAAUUCAUAUCAACACAACAACAAUAAAAUAGGUAGAAAAUAGUACAUAUUCAUAUUCAUUUAACUACAAUAACUCAUCUUGUUGCCAAGAAACGAAUUAAAAAUUAAGAAUGCAAAUGAAAAUUAUUGUCCCUCAUCUGAUUUACCCAUAAGCUUAGAAGCGCCUCUAAGCAAAACAAUCAAAACCCAAUCAAGUAGAAUAUCAGUAAGAAUAUCAAACAAAUUGAUGGAUCAAAGCAUUUAAGCACAGGAAAAAGGUAACGGAACUUAUUUUUCUUCCGCAUAAAUUAAAUAAGAAAUUCAAAAUGAAAAAUAAGGAGUUUUUUUAACUACUUCGACACUUGCGAAUGAGAUAAAAGAAAACCCAUAUUCUCUGGUUCUUCAAAGGCAUCCAGAUCAUUUUGAUCUAAGACACACGCCUUACUGUGCUUGGACGCCACUCAAUUUAAUUCCAUAAAUGUCCAAUCCCACAAAUUUUGCAUCACUUCAUCUAAAAUCAAAGACGAAUGUUCAAUUUUUGGUGCCUAGACACCAAGUACUAAUAACAUGGAAAUGAAAAACGUAGUUAAACAUUCUCAUACACUUGUUGUCACUCACACAUGCAUAAGAUCAUAAUUGUAUGGAAGAAAGAGGCUAUCAGCUUGAGAACUCUAGUUGCCUUCAUGAAUUAGGGCAUGUUUAAUUGCAGUUUUUGAAAACAAUUUUCUAUUUCUGAAAAGUUGUUUGAUUAGCUUGUUUUGAAAAUUUGUUUCCUAUUUUAUUUUAUUUUUUAAAUCUAAACAAAAAAAACAUAUCAUACUCGUAAAAAAACGUUUUUCAAAAUUGAUUAGUAGUAUUUUGGAGAAAGUACUUCAGUAUACAGAUUUACUUCAUUUCCUUCGUCAACACAAAUAUUGUCCUUAACUCAGCACACAUGCUAGUGCAACACAAGUAAUCACAUGCUAGUGCUUUCACUCCUAUGAGCAAUAAGUGCUUGAAAAAUCUUAAGAAAUGUUCUUCUGCAUGUACAUUUCUAACAAACACAACCCAACAAUAAAACUUUAUAACUUAGAGUGACAAAACAGGAAUCAAUUACCAUCCAAUACUUAAAUUUCAGCUUAUUCCACAACCUCAAAGUAUUUUCAACAUAAUCAAAGCAAAAAUAAUAAGCACUUAAUACACUAAAACUAAUACACUAUAGAAAUUAUUUUCUUCGGAAUCAAACAAGAACAUGAGAAGUAUGAACCAAUUUAUUCCAGGAAAUCCAAUUUAUAAAUUAGGGUUUAAAAGGGUAAAAAUAUUAAAACCUGACAAGGAGCAGGGAUUUCACAGUGUUAAUCUAGAAUGUAAACUUGUUUUCCCUUACUCGUGUCCACAUUGACAACUCAGAACAUCAAGAGUUUCUUGAAUCAGCCUCGGAUGUAGAACCGCCGGCGAUAAGUUUAAUGAGAGGAGGCACAACUUCGUAUGUGGAAGGAAUAGCAAGAGAGAGGUGUAAGGGUUCACAUGAGAGAGGGAUAAGAAGAAGAAGAAGAAUUGUUUCGUGUUUGAGGGAGGAGGAGGAGGAGGAAUGAAUCAAGCCUCGGCAGGGCCGUCUUUGAGGGCGUAUAAGACGGAAUAUCGCACAGGGCCUUAAAUUUGUCACAGUUAACUCCUCUAUACUCAUUAAAUAUAACAGAACUGUGAAGGCUUUGUUACAAAUAAUCACUUAACUCCUCUACUCGUUAAAUAUAACAAAACUUUCAUAGAUAAUAACAUCUCGACUCAUUACAAAGCAUGAAAAAAAAACUCAAAUUUGAGUCAUUAAAGAGCUUAAAAAAAAGCUCAACAUCUAUCACCCACUAUGUUGAAUUCUAAGCCUAACUAACCGCAUUAUUAAUAGGGAUCACAACAAUGACAAAAGUUGCAAAAAUGAAAACAAGGACCACAAGUUGCAAUAUUAUAUUCAGAAAACAAAACUAGAAAUCAUUGUUUCUAAUAAGAUUAAUAACAUCGUACCUCGUAACGUACUAAGAAUUAUACAAGAUGCAGAACAGGGAUUCGAGAACAAUCGAAGACGAUGAACAAGCGGGUUUCAAGCACAAUAAUAAAUUAUGGAGAAGAAGCUGUUGUUGAGCAAACACGAUUGAGAACAAGGCAAUUUCGGUUUGAUUUUAGUUGCAUGUGUUGGGACGAUUUAGGUUUACGGUUUGAGGAAAAUGAAGUGCUGGGUUCAUUGUUUGAUUAUGAUUUAUUCAAU